CAAAGCGAUGCACCCGGCAACGGGGAGCUAAUCGCAAAAAGGUGGGCCCAGUUCGGAUUGGGGUCUGCAACCCGACCCCAUGAAGCCGGAAUCGCUAGUAAUCGCGGAUCAGCCAUGCCGCGGUGAAUACCGGUUCCCGGGCCUU
Molecule: ribosomal RNA, 145 nt
Filed under: uncultured Thermus sp.
Lineage: Bacteria; Thermotogati; Deinococcota; Deinococci; Thermales; Thermaceae
Description: partial 16S ribosomal RNA
Rfam family: Bacterial small subunit ribosomal RNA
Source: RNAcentral